UUCUGCAGAUAGUUUUAGAUAGGUUAGCUAAAGCGGGCCUUAGGUUGAAUAGGGAUAAGUGCAACUUUUGUAGGCCAGAGAUAAAGUAUUUAGGCUACGUGGUAGACAAGCACGGUCUACACGUAGACCCAGAAAAGGUUGAAGCGAUGGUAAACAUCGAAAGGCCCAAAAAUGUGAAACAGGUUAGGUCAUUUAUAGGUACAGUGUCCUGCUACCGAAGACUUUGCUGAGUUAGUUAGGCCUCUCACCGAAUUAACAAAGAAAAACCGAAAGUUCGAGUGGAACGAAGAUUGUGAACGCAGCUUUAGGGAGGCGAAGGAGCGCCUGGUGACAGCACCCGUUUUGAGCUGUCCAGAUUUUGAGAAGCCUCUCAAAAUCCAGACAGACGCGUCUGAUUUUGAAUAAAAAUUAGAAAAUUUAUUCGACGACAGAGAAGGAGAGUUUAGCGGUCUUUUGGGCGGUCGAGAAAUUGCGUCCAUAUGUUGAAGGCGCUAGGUUUACUGUCGUCACUGACCAUUAUUCUUUGGUUUGGCUGAACAACUUGAAGGAUCCUUGUGGUAGGUUAGCAGGUUGGGCGCUGAAGCUCCAGCAGUAUGACUGAGAUUGUCCACCGGAAGGGAAAGGAACAUGUGGUUCCAGAUAUGUUGUCCCGUAGUGGGCCUGUUGCUUAAGUUUCCACUAGUGACCCCUGGUUGUCGAAGAUGAUUCGGUCUGUAGAAAAGAGACCCUUAUCGUACCCAGCGUGGAGAGUAGAAGACAGCUGCCUCUACAAAUUCGUUAAGUCCAAAUUCCCCUCUAUUUACGGUGAUUCUUCGAAUUGGAAAACGGUUGUUGGUCGAAAGGAGAGGGCUGAGAUUCUGAGUAAAUGUCAUGAUGACCAGUUGGCCGGUCACAUGGGCAUUCGGAAAACUUUCGCUAGGGUUACGCAAAAUUUUUAUUGGCCGCAUGUAAGAUUCGUCAACAGGUGAAACCUGAUAACACACAGCCAGCUGGGGGUUUGUUGAGAGGUCCAAGGAAAUUGCACCUUGGGAAAUAAUAUGUGUUGAUCUGGUAGGGCCCAUGGUGAAGUCGACACAGGGCUACCAGUAUAUUUUAACGGUCGUGGAUUACUUUUCGAAGCUUCCGCUGUUGUUUCCCUUACGGACUGCCAAGGCGAAGCGCGUCUGUAAAAUCUUAGAGGAUCAGGUGUUUCUUUUGUUUGGUGUCCCUCGGCCGGUGGUCUGCGACAAUGGACCCCAGUUCAGGAGUCGCGAACUGCGGGGACUCUGCGGAGCGUAUGGCGUCCAACUGCGGUACACCGCAUACUGUCAUCCGCAGGGUAACCCGGCCGAAAGGAUAAACCAAAUAAUUAAGACUACCCUUAGGGCAUACGUCGCAGAAAACCAAAGGAGUUGGGACCAGAAAUUAGCAAAGGUAGCGUGCUGUAUUAUUAGGGAAAUGGCGUUGGAAGGCAGUAGAAGAUAUAUCGCGUCAUUAGGAGAGUAGAGAGAAUUAAUUGUGAAGAAAGAGUAAAGAGACUCGAAGAGAUUAGGUCUAGCGUUAGAGUGGGGUUAGAGGAGGCCAGUGCCAAGUUAGCAAGAAAUUAUAACCUUAGGAGAAGAGAUGUGCAAUAUAUGCCAGGAGAGUUAGUUUGGAGGAAAAAUUUUGUAUUAUCUGAUGCAGUAACGCGGCGAAGUUAGCGCCGAAAUAUAUAGGACCUUUUAUAGUGAAGAAGAAGGUGUCGCCUUGGACUUAUGUCCUGAUAGACGAGUCAGGCAAGGAUAAGGGGACAUGGAACGUGAAGGAGUUAAGACCAUAUAGGGACAAUUAGGAGAUAGGUAUUUCACAAAAGAAAGCAAGCUUUCUUUGUAAGGAGUUAUGUCCUGGUAGACGAGUCAGGCAAGGAUAAGGGGACAUGGAACGUGAAGGAGUUAAGACCAUAUAGGGACAAUUAGGAGAUAGGUAUUUCACAAAAGAAAGCAAGCUUUCUCUUUAAGGAGGAAGGGGUGGGGUUGUCGCGUACUGGCCGCAAAAAAAUAAACAUUUGCUUCCCCUUCGUUCUAUUUACCCAUUUCCUUUCACUCCAACCGAUGGGAGUGAAGCUUACCGACAAUGACUGCACAUACUUACAUAUGUGCAUAUGUACAAGUAGAUUUCAUGUAGGCUUUACGUGAUUACCUGCCAAAGGCUUUAAUCACGGUGCCCGCAUUAGGCACAACGGAUUAAUUUUUGCAUUAAUCACUGCCCUGAACUGCAAGCACUUUAGUACCAAUUGGCAGUAUGUGGUGGACACACUUACCACCUUGGUAGGGCCGAGGCCUACCUAAACCUCUGACGUUCUCUGGAUCACGACAUCCGGUUGCAAUGCAACUCCACAUUGAACCAUUGCUGGUUCUACCCGCAUUAAGGUAUUAAACCACAGCCACCACGAUACUCCCCAAAGGGGCCGUACCCAUGAACGGACCGGAGUAAUGCUCGCCGGCGAGAUUUGCUGGACUGGCUCAACAAACCCUGACCCACUUAACUGACUCAGCUCACACUAGAACGACUUACACGACUACUUCACUCCACAUUCAUACUCCGUCUUGCUCGUCUCACACGUCCUACUCGCCUCGCUCGUGGGCACCCUCCUCA
Long non-coding RNA from Rhagoletis zephyria (snowberry fruit fly), 2613 nucleotides. RefSeq lists it as uncharacterized. NCBI's taxonomy places the organism in Eukaryota, Metazoa, Arthropoda, Insecta, Diptera, Tephritidae. The record is from RefSeq and is a predicted model, not a curated record.